UGGCGGGUAGUGUAAUUAACAUUUGAGAUCUUGGCUCUCGAGAUGAGGGGGAAAGAAGCCCUUUCUGCCAU
Molecule: transfer RNA, 71 nt
Filed under: Spondylus violaceus
Lineage: Eukaryota; Metazoa; Mollusca; Bivalvia; Pectinida; Spondylidae
Description: tRNA-Gln
Source: RNAcentral